AUCCAACUGACCAGUUCAAAAUAGGACAGAACACGUGUCCUAGAU
This 45-nucleotide non-coding RNA is filed under the name Schistosoma haematobium. Lineage: Eukaryota; Metazoa; Platyhelminthes; Trematoda; Strigeidida; Schistosomatidae. The record is from RNAcentral.